AAUCAACGCUGGCGGCGUGCUUAACACAUGCAAGUCGAGCGCGAAAGCGGCUUCGGUCGUUAGUAGAGCGGCGGACGGGUGAGGAACACGUGGGUAACCUACCUCGGGUGGGGAAUAACCCAGGGAAACCUGGGCUAAUUCCGCAUAACAUCUUUAGCUCGCAAGAGUUAUUGAUCAAAGCUGGGGACCCUUCGGGGCCUGGCGCCUGUGGAGGGGCCCGCGGCCGAUUAGCUUGUUGGUGAGGUAACGGCUCACCAAGGCUCCGAUCGGUAGCCGGCCUAAGAGGGCGGACGGCCACACUGGGACUGAGACACGGCCCAGACUCCUACGGGAGGCAGCAGUGGGGAAUUUUUGUCAAUGGGGGAAACCCUGAACAAGCAACGCCGCGUGGAGGACGAAGACCCUCGGGUCGUAAACUCCUGUCGGAGGGGACGAAAGCGGUCGUAGUUAAUACCUGCGAUCGUUGACGGUACCCUACGAGGAAGCCCCGGCUAACUCCGUG
Molecule: ribosomal RNA, 502 nt
Filed under: uncultured bacterium
Lineage: Bacteria
Description: bacterial SSU rRNA
Rfam family: Bacterial small subunit ribosomal RNA
Source: RNAcentral